GACAGAGGUGCCGAGCGUUAGGCGGAAUCACUGGGCUUAAAGCGUGUGUAGGUGGAUGCCUAAGUCCCUUGUGAAAUCCCACGGCUUAACCGUGGAACUGCUUGGUAUACUGGGUGUCUUGAGCCAGCUAGGGGCUACCGGAACAAAUGGUGGAGCGGUGAAAUGCGUAGAUAUCGGAAGGAACAUCAGUGGCGAAAGCGGCUUCCUGGACCAGAACUGACGAUCAGGCUCGAAAGCGUGGGGAGCAAACAGG
This 253-nucleotide ribosomal RNA is filed under the name uncultured bacterium. RNAcentral's name for it is "partial 16S ribosomal RNA". It matches the Rfam family "Bacterial small subunit ribosomal RNA", at positions 524 to 776 of the family's 1533-position model. The record is from RNAcentral.